RNAcentral lists this ribosomal RNA (952 nucleotides) under Escherichia coli. RNAcentral describes it as "partial 23S ribosomal RNA". It matches the Rfam family "Bacterial large subunit ribosomal RNA", at positions 1917 to 2863 of the family's 2925-position model. Lineage: Bacteria; Pseudomonadati; Pseudomonadota; Gammaproteobacteria; Enterobacterales; Enterobacteriaceae. The record is from RNAcentral.
GCCCCGGUAAACGGCGGCCGUAACUAUAACGGUCCUAAGGUAGCGAAAUUCCUUGUCGGGUAAGUUCCGACCUGCACGAAUGGCGUAAUGAUGGCCAGGCUGUCUCCACCCGAGACUCAGUGAAAUUGAACUCGCUGUGAAGAUGCAGUGUACCCGCGGCAAGACGGAAAGACCCCGUGAACCUUUACUAUAGCUUGACACUGAACAUUGAGCCUUGAUGUGUAGGAUAGGUGGGAGGCUUUGAAGUGUGGACGCCAGUCUGCAUGGAGCCGACCUUGAAAUACCACCCUUUAAUGUUUGAUGUUCUAACGUUGGCCCGUAAUCCGGGUUGCGGACAGUGUCUGGUGGGUAGUUUGACUGGGGCGGUCUCCUCCUAAAGAGUAACGGAGGAGCACGAAGGUUGGCUAAUCCUGGUCGGACAUCAGGAGGUUAGUGCAAUGGCAUAAGCCAGCUUGACUGCGAGCGUGACGGCGCGAGCAGGUGCGAAAGCAGGUCAUAGUGAUCCGGUGGUUCUGAAUGGAAGGGCCAUCGCUCAACGGAUAAAAGGUACUCCGGGGAUAACAGGCUGAUACCGCCCAAGAGUUCAUAUCGACGGCGGUGUUUGGCACCUCGAUGUCGGCUCAUCACAUCCUGGGGCUGAAGUAGGUCCCAAGGGUAUGGCUGUUCGCCAUUUAAAGUGGUACGCGAGCUGGGUUUAGAACGUCGUGAGACAGUUCGGUCCCUAUCUGCCGUGGGCGCUGGAGAACUGAGGGGGGCUGCUCCUAGUACGAGAGGACCGGAGUGGACGCAUCACUGGUGUUCGGGUUGUCAUGCCAAUGGCACUGCCCGGUAGCUAAAUGCGGAAGAGAUAAGUGCUGAAAGCAUCUAAGCACGAAACUUGCCCCGAGAUGAGUUCUCCCUGACUCCUUGAGAGUCCUGAAGGAACGUUGAAGACGACGACGUUGAUAGGCCG